This 85-nucleotide transfer RNA is filed under the name Methanobrevibacter sp. OttesenSCG-928-I08. RNAcentral's name for it is "tRNA-Ser". It matches the Rfam family "tRNA". Rfam says of the family: Transfer RNA (tRNA) molecules are approximately 80 nucleotides in length. Their secondary structure includes four short double-helical elements and three loops (D, anti-codon, and T loops). Further hydrogen bonds mediate the characteristic L-shaped molecular structure. tRNAs have two regions of fundamental functional importance: the anti-codon, which is responsible for specific mRNA codon recognition, and the 3' end, to which the tRNAs corresponding amino acid is attached (by aminoacyl-tRNA synthetases). tRNAs cope with the degeneracy of the genetic code in two manners: having more than one tRNA (with a specific anti-codon) for a particular amino acid; and 'wobble' base-pairing, i.e. permitting non-standard base-pairing at the 3rd anti-codon position. The record is from RNAcentral. Lineage: Archaea; Methanobacteriati; Methanobacteriota; Methanobacteria; Methanobacteriales; Methanobacteriaceae.
GCCGAGAUAGUCUAGUCUGGUAAGGCGCAGGACUUGAAAUCCUGUGGAGAUCUCCUCCUCCUGGGUUCAAAUCCCAGUCUCGGCG